RNAcentral lists this ribosomal RNA (503 nucleotides) under Klebsiella pneumoniae. RNAcentral describes it as "bacterial LSU rRNA". It matches the Rfam family "Bacterial large subunit ribosomal RNA", at positions 965 to 1477 of the family's 2925-position model. The record is from RNAcentral. Lineage: Bacteria; Pseudomonadati; Pseudomonadota; Gammaproteobacteria; Enterobacterales; Enterobacteriaceae.
AAUGAAUUAUGGUCGGCAGUCAGACUGCGAGUGCUAAGAUCCGUAGUCGAAAGGGAAACAGCCCAGACCACCAGCUAAGGUCCCAAACUAAUUGUUAAGUGGAAAAGGAUGUGGGGUUGCACAGACAACUAGGCUGUUAGCUUAGAAGCAGCUAUUCAUUCAAAGAGUGCGUAAUAGCUCACUAGUCGAGUGACCCUGCGCCGAUAAUGUACCGGGGCUAAAACAAUUUACCGAAGCUGUGGUUACCUUUAUAGGUAUGGUAGGAGAGCGUUCUAUGUGUGAUGAAGGUAUACCGUGAGGAGUGCUGGAACGCAUAGAAGUGAGAAUGCCGGUAUGAGUAGCGAAAGACAGGUGAGAAUCCUGUCCACCGUAAGACUAAGGUUUCCAGGGGAAGGCUCGUCCGCCCUGGGUUAGUCGGGACCUAAGGAGAGACCGAAAGGUGUAUCCGAUGGACAACAGGUUGAUAUUCCUGUACUAGAGUAUGUAGUGAUGGAGGGACGCAG